Molecule: long non-coding RNA, 278 nt
Filed under: Nicotiana benthamiana
Lineage: Eukaryota; Viridiplantae; Streptophyta; Magnoliopsida; Solanales; Solanaceae
Description: long non-coding RNA (NBEN_LNC017922)
Source: RNAcentral
GUGCGGCAAUAUAUACUAAACAGUUUGAAAUUGUAGGAUAAUAUUGGCCAGAUAAAGCAGUUGUAGCCACACUAAAAUGUUCUAAAAAAUCUAAAAAAAUCUUAACGUUAUUCCAAUCUUGAUUAGUUAGCAUAUCAUUAUCUUCAUCCUCACAAUUCCUAGAAUUUUGAGUAGCGGUUAUUGGGUUUCUAUAUUCGUACGCCACUACUAAUCUUUCAUACAUGUAGUUCCACCUAGUCGGACAAGGUUUAGGAACCUUUCUUUCUCUAAGGCCANNN